This 247-nucleotide ribosomal RNA is filed under the name uncultured bacterium. Its description in RNAcentral is "partial 16S ribosomal RNA". It matches the Rfam family "Bacterial small subunit ribosomal RNA", at positions 796 to 1041 of the family's 1533-position model. The record is from RNAcentral.
CACGCCGUAAACGAUGUCGACUAGCCGUUGGAGACCUUAGAGUCUUUAGUGGCGCAGCUAACGCGAUAAGUCGACCGCCUGGGGAGUACGGCCGCAAGGUUAAAACUCAAAUGAAUUGACGGGGGCCCGCACAAGCGGUGGAGCAUGUGGUUUAAUUCGAUGCAACGCGAAGAACCUUACCACCCCUUGACAUCCUGCGAACUUUCCAGAAAUGGAUUGGUGCCUUCGGGAGCGCAGAGACAGGUGC